UACGUAGGGAGCAAGCGUUGUCCGGAAUCAUUGGGCGUAAAGCGCGUGUAGGCGGCCCGGUAAGUCCGCUGUGAAAGUCGGGGGCUCAACCCUCGGAUGCCGGUGGAUACUGUCGGGCUCGAGUACGGAAGAGGCGAGUGGAAUUCCUGGUGUAGCGGUGAAAUGCGCAGAUAUCAGGAGGAACACCAAUUGCGAAGGCAGCUCGCUGGGACGUUACUGACGCUGAGACGCGAAAGCGUGGGGAGCAAACAGG
This 253-nucleotide ribosomal RNA is filed under the name uncultured bacterium. Its description in RNAcentral is "partial 16S ribosomal RNA". It matches the Rfam family "Bacterial small subunit ribosomal RNA", at positions 524 to 776 of the family's 1533-position model. The record is from RNAcentral.